This is a long non-coding RNA of Alligator sinensis (Chinese alligator), 643 nucleotides long. RefSeq lists it as uncharacterized. NCBI's taxonomy places the organism in Eukaryota, Metazoa, Chordata, Crocodylia, Alligatoridae. The record is from RefSeq and is a predicted model, not a curated record. The transcript has 4 exons.
GGCACAUCCGCCGCCCUCAACAUCUGCCAAGUUAAAUGGCUGCAUGAAGCCACCUCUCAGCACUAUGAAGAGUUCACGUACGAAAGAUAAGUGCUACUUAUGUCACAGAUACACCGAUGUAAAAAAUCUGGAGUUGUUGAAGGCUGGAUCCAAUCAGGCUUUAUGUGACAGAAGGCAGGCAGCAUUCAGGUGCCUCUGGGAUUUGUAGUCCACAGUCACAGCCAACAUCCUAAUGACCAUUGUCCCAUCCUGGAAAAGGAUGACCAUCUCAAGGCAGCCUUUGAGGACAAACCCGUCUUGUUUUACAGAUAGCCCCCCCCAAUGUCAAAUGGCAUCCCUUACACAACAGACUAAUGAACUCCCAUUCUCACCAAGGCACCCUUGUAAUGGAUCCAAAUGCCUACUGUGUCCCCACAGCAAUAGACCACAUCAUUACCAGACCUAAUAAUAAGGAAUACAACAUCUGAGGUUCUUUCACCUGCAACUCUACCAAUGUCAAAUAUGCCAUCACUGCUUACAAUGCUCUUCUGCUGUCUACAUCAGACACACAAGGUGAUAUCUAUGUGUAAGAAUGAAUGAAUGCUGAUCUGGAAUCAGCUGCAGAAAGACUCAAAAGCUUGUGGCAGAACACUUCAACCCUCUG